UAACAAAACCUAUAAUUACUGACAAGUUACCAGGGAUUUUCACAUGUUAUAUCUCGUCCUACACAAACUACUCCAUAAGGUUCAUAUUACCUCAUGUUACUCCUUGUGAAAUGACCCGUCAUGACUUCUAUUUCCCAUUAAACCAAUGAUUAAACUCUUAAUAUUGAUAGGGUUCCAUAUUUUAUGCUAUGACUCUGUUUUAGCCAUUUAAUCAUCUUUCUUCCAUGAGAACUGGACUUAGCCUGAGCCAGAUAUUCUUCCUUAAGGUCUUUUUUGGGUAUCGAUUUCAUUCCUUGCCUGAUUUCUACUCAAAAUAUCACUCUUGUUCACCUACCCCAGUCCCCCACCCAUACUGUCCUCUCAUUUCAACUUAAUGUAUUUUCCUGUGAAUGUAAAUUUGUUUUUCCUAAUGUUAAAGUUUUUUUUUGUUGUAAAAAAUAUUAUGUAGGAUAUUUGAAAGUGAAAAGAUAGCUCUGCUGACUUCCCAGUUCUAGUCCAUCUAAGUAACCACUGUUAUGUGUCUUACAAUAACUCCUUUAUGCAUAAACAAAAGUAUGCAUAGGGCCCGGGGCUGGGGCUAUGACUCAGCGGUAGCACACUUGCCUGGCAUGUGUGAGAUACUGGGUUAGUUUCUCAGCACUGCAUAUAAAUAAAUAAAAAAUAAAAGGUCUAACAGCAACUAAAAAAAUUUUUUUAAAAUAUGCAUUGGCAUGUGUAUCAUGCGCAUAUUCAUUUACAUACACAGGAGGCACAGGCACAGAUGGAGAGAUAGAUAUGUAGAUAUGUGUUUUAUACAAACAUACCAUUCUACAACUUUCUUUUUUCAGUUGACAAUACAUCAGAAAUCAGUGUGAAUAUGUUAUUGCACUUAAACUAUCUUUAUUGCCCUAGACUGUC
This 897-nucleotide long non-coding RNA is filed under the name Marmota monax (woodchuck). The record is from RNAcentral. Lineage: Eukaryota; Metazoa; Chordata; Mammalia; Rodentia; Sciuridae.